GGUAAUUUAAUCUUAUAAUCAAAAUAAAUGGAUCAAAAAAAUAUAUAUAAAUAUACAAAAACAAAGAGGAGUUAAAUUUUAUCCUCCCAUCACCCCAACAAAACAGCUACCCCCAUUUAACGUAACAAAACAAACAAAAAAUAAAUGAGAAACCUGUCAAACUCUAUAGGGUCUUCUCGUCCCAUAAAAACAUUUAAGAAUUUUAACUCAAAAACCAAAUUCAAUAACCAAUACCUCUAAGACAGCUUAUGUCUCGUCAAGCCAUUCAUACCAGAUCACAAUUAAAGAACUAAUGAUUAUGCUACCUUUGCACGGUCAAAAUACCGCGGCCCUUCAACUCAACGUCAGUGGGCAGGCCAUACUUCAAAAACUAACAAGAAAAGAUGUUUUUGUUAAACAGGCGGACAUAAAAACUUUGCCGAAUUCCUCAAAAGCAAUUAACAUUUACCACCAAACAAAACAAUCAAUAAAAUUUACUAAUUACACAAUAAUUACUAUACAAACCAAAAGUAAAGAAAACAUUUCAAUAAAUAACUUAAAUAACAAAAAAUUAAAAAAAUAACAAAUAAAAUUUUAACAUAAUCAAAUAGAAAAUCACCAUAAAAUCCACCAAACUAAAUUAAACAACAACCAAUUAUAAAAAUAAAAUAAGGAGCUAAUCCCCCUUAAUCUUAACAUCAAAUAAAAAUAAAUAAAUCAACAACAGAAAUUAAAUAAGAUGUAUGAAUUAAA
This 732-nucleotide ribosomal RNA is filed under the name Nasutitermes triodiae (Spinifex termite). RNAcentral describes it as "partial 16S rRNA". The record is from RNAcentral. Lineage: Eukaryota; Metazoa; Arthropoda; Insecta; Blattodea; Termitidae.